This is a non-coding RNA of Capsicum annuum, 107 nucleotides long. Lineage: Eukaryota; Viridiplantae; Streptophyta; Magnoliopsida; Solanales; Solanaceae. The record is from Rfam.
UGAUGAUGAUGAGGGCAAUUCCCGAGCAUAGCCUUGAAUUUUUCCUAAACUUGGUAAAGAUUCUCUCUAUCUCUUUUCCUGAAACUUAGAAUCUCACUUCUCAAAUA